CUAGUGCUACCAUAAUUCGCCUAAAGCAGGUGCAGCAACUUUCACCCCGCCUGGCAGACCGCUGAGAGCUAGAGAAGACCACGUGCACCAAACUUUAGGGGAGGAAAAAUGGGAACGUGGGGAGAAGACGUGGGGCGGCAGAUCAGAAAAAGAUGGUCAUUCCGGACUCCUGACGCCGCCAGUCCCGCGGUGAGACGUGAGCACCAUUGGCGUCCGUGGCCUCUGUUUCCGUGGCAACCCAGUAACCAUUAAUUUUCAAUUAAAGGAGACAAAAAGCUCGAUGACAGCUCCAGGUCUGCUGAAGAUGUCAAGAAUCUGUAUUAAUAUACAGCAAGAGAGCAUAAUUGUGUGUCCAUCUUCCAGAGCAGCGAAAAAUGGAGGGAUAAUUACCAGCUCGAAAGCCACUCUGUAAUUUAGUUCUUACUGUCACCACAGCCCUACACAUUAGCAUAAAUUAAAAGCAGAGUUUAUUGUUAUCAAAGUGCA
Molecule: long non-coding RNA, 486 nt
Organism: Piliocolobus tephrosceles (Ugandan red Colobus)
Lineage: Eukaryota; Metazoa; Chordata; Mammalia; Primates; Cercopithecidae
Exons: 2
Source: RefSeq, a predicted model, not a curated record